This 110-nucleotide ribosomal RNA is filed under the name Pseudomonas aeruginosa. RNAcentral also lists the same sequence under 3 other names. The record is from RNAcentral. Lineage: Bacteria; Pseudomonadati; Pseudomonadota; Gammaproteobacteria; Pseudomonadales; Pseudomonadaceae.
GGCCUUAGCGCGGUGGUCCCACCUGACCCCAUGCCGAACUCAGAAGUGAAACGCCGUAGCGCCGAUGGUAGUGUGGGGUCUCCCCAUGCGAGAGUAGGGAACUGCCAGGC